This 366-nucleotide ribosomal RNA is filed under the name uncultured Lactobacillus sp. RNAcentral describes it as "bacterial SSU rRNA". It matches the Rfam family "Bacterial small subunit ribosomal RNA", at positions 181 to 524 of the family's 1533-position model. Lineage: Bacteria; Bacillati; Bacillota; Bacilli; Lactobacillales; Lactobacillaceae. The record is from RNAcentral.
AGAUGAUGCCUAUCAACUGUUUAAAGAUGGUUCUGCUAUCACUCUUGGGAUGGACCUUGCGGUGCAUUAGCUAGUUGGUAAGGGUAACGGCCUACCAAGGCGAUGAUGCAUAGCCCGAGUUGAGAGACUGAUCGGGCCACAUUGGGGACUGAGACACGGGCCCAAAAACUCCUACGGGGAGGCAGCAGUAGGGAAUCUUCCACAAUGGACGCAAGUCUGAUGGAGCAAACGCCGCGUGAGUGAAGAAGGGUUUCGGCUCGUAAAGCUCUGUUGUUGGUGAAGAAGGACAGGGGUAGUAACUGACCUUUGUUUGACGGUAAUCAAUUAGAAAGUCACGGCUAACUACGUGCCAGCAGCCGCGGUAAU